Molecule: ribosomal RNA, 1690 nt
Rfam family: Eukaryotic small subunit ribosomal RNA
CCAUAUGCUUGUCUCAAAGAUUAAGCCAUGCAGGUCUGAGUACGGCCUCUAGCGAAAAGGCGAAACCGCGAAUGGCUCAUUAAAUCAGUUAUGGUUCCUUAGAGCUUACGUUGUCUUACUUGGAUAACCGUGGUAAUUCUAGAGCUAAUACAUGCACCGAAGCUCCGACCCCYUCGGGGGAACGAGCGCUUUUAUUAGACCGCAACGACCGUAUCCGCCGUUCUCGUUCACACGGACGGGAGCGGACGUGUUUGCGUGGUGACUCUGGAUAACUUAGCCGAUCGUCCGUCGCACCUAUUCAGUUAGGUUUAAACGACGGACGACGCACCUUUCAAGUGUCUGCCUUAUCAACUGUCGACGGUAGGUCAAGUGCCUACCGUGGUAGUAACGGGUGACGGGGAAUCAGGGUUCGAUUCCGGAGAGGAAGCCUGAGAAACGGCUACCACAUCCAAGGAAGGCAGCAGGCUCGCAAAUUACCCACUCCCGGCACGGGGAGGUAGUGACGAAAAAUAACGAUGCGGGACUCGGUCGAGACCCCGCCAUCGGAAUGAGUACACUCUAAAUCCUUUAACGAGGACCCACCGGAGGGCAAGUCUGGUGCCAGCAGCUGCGGUAAUUCCAGCUCCGGUAGCAUAUGCUAAAGUUGCUGCGGUUAAAAAGCUCGUAGUUGGAUCUCAGUCUCGGCCGCCCGGUCUCGCCCGUGUUGGCGGGUCUCGCGGCGGCCGGUCAGAAUGUCGGCCGCCCGGGAUGAUCUUGACCGGUUGUCUCGGAACGGCCGGCGCGUUUACUUUGAAAAAAUCAAAGUGCUCAGAGCGGGCGUUAUCCGCCCGGACGUUCGUGCAUGGAAUAAUGGAAGAGGACCUCGGUUCCAGCGUCUGUUGGUCCGCGAACCCAGAGGUAAUGAUUAAGAGGAACGGCCGGGGGCGAUCGUACCGCGACGCUAGAGGUGAAAUUCUUGGACCGUCGCGUGACGCACUACAGCGAAAGCAUUCGUCAAGAACGCUUCCGUUAAUCAAGAACGAAAGUCAGAGGUUCGAAGGCGAUCAGAUACCGCCCUAGUUCUGACCGUAAACGAUGCCGACCAGCGAUCGGGCUGCGCUCGCCACGACGAGGCGCCCGGAAGCUUUCCGGGAAACCAGAGUUUCUGGGUUCCGGGGGAAGUAUGGUUGCAAAGCUGAAACUUAAAGGAAUUGACGGAAGGGCACCACCAGGAUUGGGGCCUGCGGCUCAAUUUGACUCAACACGGGAAAACUCACCCGGCCCGGACACGGGAAGGAUUGACAGACCGAUUGCUCUUUCUUGAUUCUGUGGGUGGUGGUGCAUGGCCGUUCUUAGUUGGUGGAGCGAUUUGUCUGGUUGAUUCCGAUAACGAACGAGACUCUAGCCUGCUAAAUAGCGAGCUCUAUGAACGCGGGGCCUGCGCGCCACACUGACGCCCACAGCGUGCGCGCUCGCCCGGUCCGACAGGAUCGGGGAACCCCUUCAACGGACGUCGUGCUGGGGACAGGGGAUUGGAAUUGUUCCCCUCGAACGAGGAAUUCCCAGUAAGCGCGAGUCACUAGCUCGCGUUGAUUACGUCCCUGCCCUUUGUACACACCGCCCGUCGCUACUACUGAUUGAACGGUUCGGUGAGGUCCUCGGACUGGCUUACGCUGGCGGGACCCUUUGCGUCGUUUCCUCGUCUCCCUCG